RNAcentral lists this ribosomal RNA (250 nucleotides) under uncultured prokaryote. RNAcentral describes it as "partial 16S ribosomal RNA". It matches the Rfam family "Bacterial small subunit ribosomal RNA", at positions 524 to 773 of the family's 1533-position model. The record is from RNAcentral.
UACGUAUGGAGCAAGCGUUAUCCGGAUUUACUGGGUGUAAAGGGAGCGUAGGCGGUUUCAUAAGUCUGAUGUGAAAACCCACGGCUCAACCGUGGGAUUGCAUUGGAAACUGUGGAACUAGAGUGUCGGAGGGGCAAGUGGAAUUCCUAGUGUAGCGGUGAAAUGCAUAGAUAUUAGGAGGAACACCAGUGGCGAAGGCGGCUUGCUGGACGAUUACUGACGCUGAGACUCGAAAGCGUGGGGGGCAAAC